CUACGGGAGGCAGCAGUGGGGAAUAUUGCGCAAUGGGCGAAAGCCUGACGCAGCCAUGCCGCGUGUGUGAAGAAGGCCUUAGGGUUGUAAAGCACUUUCAAUUGGGAGGAAGGAGUUAAAGUUAAUAGCUUUGACUUUUGACGUUACCUUUAGAAGAAGCACCGGCUAACUCCGUGCCAGCAGCCGCGGUAAUACGGAGGGUGCGAGCGUUAAUCGGAAUUACUGGGCGUAAAGCGCGCGUAGGCGGUUUGUUAAGUCGGAUGUGAAAGCCUCGGGCUCAACCUGGGAACUGCACCCGAUACUGGCCGACUUGAGUGCGAGAGAGGGAGGUAGAAUUCCAUGUGUAGCGGUGAAAUGCGUAGAUAUAUGGAGGAAUACCGGUGGCGAAGGCGGCCUCCUGGCUCGACACUGACACUGAGGUGCGAAAGCGUGGGUAGCAAACAGGAUUAGAUACCCUGGUAGUCCACGCCGUAAACGAUGUCUACUAGCCGUUGGGGAACUUGAUUCUUUAGUGGCGCAGCUAACGCAAUAAGUAGACCGCCUGGGGAGUACGGCCGCAAGGUUAAAACUCAAAU
This 575-nucleotide ribosomal RNA is filed under the name uncultured bacterium. Its description in RNAcentral is "bacterial SSU rRNA". It matches the Rfam family "Bacterial small subunit ribosomal RNA", at positions 339 to 906 of the family's 1533-position model. The record is from RNAcentral.